AGGAAUAUUGGUCAAUGGACGAGAGUCUGAACCAGCCAAGUAGCGUGAAGGAUGAAGGUUCUAUGGAUUGUAAACUUCUUUUAUACGGGAAUAAACGGAUCCACGUGUGGAUCUUUGCAUGUACCGUAUGAAUAAGGAUCGGCUAACUCCGUGCCAGCAGCCGCGGUAAUACGGAGGAUCCGAGCGUUAUCCGGAUUUAUUGGGUUUAAAGGGAGCGUAGAUGGGUUGUUAAGUCAGUUGUGAAAGUUUGCGGCUCAACCGUAAAAUUGCAAUUGAUACUGGCAGUCUUGAGUACAGUUGAGGUAGGCGGAAUUCGUGGUGUAGCGGUGAAAUGCUUAGAUAUCACGAAGAACUCCGAUUGCGAAGGCAGCUUACUAACCUGUAACUGACAUUGAUGCUCGAAAGUGUGGGUAUCAAACAG
This 421-nucleotide ribosomal RNA is filed under the name uncultured bacterium. RNAcentral's name for it is "bacterial SSU rRNA". It matches the Rfam family "Bacterial small subunit ribosomal RNA", at positions 357 to 775 of the family's 1533-position model. The record is from RNAcentral.